This 406-nucleotide ribosomal RNA is filed under the name uncultured bacterium. Its description in RNAcentral is "partial 16S ribosomal RNA". It matches the Rfam family "Bacterial small subunit ribosomal RNA", at positions 30 to 526 of the family's 1533-position model. The record is from RNAcentral.
AUUGAACGCUGGCGGCAGGCCUAACACAUGCAAGUAGAACGAGUGGCGGACGGGUGAGUAAUGUCUGGGAAACUGACUGAUGGAGGGGGAUAACUACUGGAAACGGUAGCUAAUACCGCAUACCAUCAGAUGUGCCCAGAUGGGAUUAGCUUGUUGGUGGGGUAACGGCUCACCAAGGCGACGAUCCCUAGCUCGGCUGAGAGGAUGACCAGCCACACGCGAACUGAGACAGUAUCCAGCCUCCUACGGGAGGCAGCAGUGGGGAAUAUUGCACAAUGGGCGCAAUCCUGCUGCGACCAUGCCGCGUGUAUACAGAAGGCCUUCCCGUUGUCAAGUACUUUCAGCGGGGAGGCGUUACCCGCAGAAGAAGCACCGGCUAACUCCGUGCCAGCAGCCGCGGUAAUUC